ACCAUUUCCAAUAACCGUAUCUAAAUUCCAACAGGUAGGGUUUUGGGCGCCGCACCAUAUCAAUAACUUUUUAGGAGAUUAGGGUUUCUAUCAACAAAUUCCAGACACUAUAAAUUCUCUCAUACCGUGACCUUAUUUCCCAUCUUCGCCUCUUUCGCGAGGUGACGAUAUAAUCAUGAAGUCUGUCAAUCCACUGACGACAGUAUGAUGUCAAUCCAUGAAUCCCGACAGGUUCUGAUCGCUGCGACUCUAUAUAUGUUUAUAUUUUUAUAGAUUUGAGCCGGAUUAAAUUAAUUUUUAUUAAUUUAUUUGAGGACAAAGGAUGAAUCUCAUAAUCAAAUGGGUAAUUUGCGUCUGAAAUUUUCAUUGAUGCUACAUCACCUUGGAGAACUGAUGUCCCUUCCAAUUUUGCUUUCUUUUUUCUCUGUUAUUUACUGCAGAAGUAAUUAUUUUCAUUUUCUAUUAGUGAUAAAAAUAUUGAUUUUUAGAAAUUACUCUAUAAGUAAAUAUGUUUAAUAUUUGUUACCAAGAUUUUUAAACUUUGCCAAAACUACGUGAAGGCAUUGGCUAGACGCCUUAAACUAAGUUUAAGUUUUAGUUGUCAUAAUCAUGAGGGGUAGCUCGGGUUUGUUCCUCAAUGAUCAUCAAUUUUGACUCCCUUUAGGACAAGUGAGGACCGAUUGUAAACUUAGGGUUCUGUGGAAUUAGUCGAGGUGUGCGUGAGUUGAUCCGGAUUUCACAAUCAUAAAAAUAAUAAUAAUAUUGUUAGUUUUAGUUAUUAAAGGAGAGUGUUGAUAUAUACAUUGUGUUUGAUUGUUUAUUAGAAAAACCAUAAGAGUCCUGAAUGUAUAUCCAUUUGGAUUAUAAGAAACUGGUAUGGAAUGUUGAACAAUGCUUGGUAUAUACUCCUUGUAUAUCCAUUUGGAAUAUAAGAGACUGAUGUGAAAUAUUGAACAAUGCUUGGUAUGCACUUUUGUCUACACCAAGUUAUACAGUUUUUCGCAUGUGAAAGGGAUUCACGUUGAAUAUUUUAUUUGCGGGUCCCCUCAUAUGAGAGGGUUGUAUAUUUGUACAGCACGUAACCCUGUUAAUGCAACCAUAUGUUACAUAGCCAAUGUGCCAUUUCUUCUAUCAUAUUUUUUUCAAGCAUUUGUUUGGUAGUAAUUUUUAGAGAAUUUUAAUUCAAAUAUGGUCUUCAUACAUACAGUAUAUGGAUUCAGAAGCAAUAAUUGACUGGGGUUGUAGAAAGAUAUUAUCAAAUAUGUCCUUUCCUCUAUGGUGUAGAAUGGGAGUGGGAUUUUUAUAGAAUGACAUUGAAGUAAAUAUCAUUGGAGAAAUGCAGUCAAUUCUUCUUAAGUUGUUUGAUGAAAUUUACUGUAUAAUGGUUAUAUUUUAGAUCAAAUUAAAAUUCAAUAAAAAUGGCUUUAAGACAAGGGUUUUUUGUUGCUGUACAAAUGUACAGUUCUCUCACAUGAGGGAAUUCGUAAAUGAAAUAUUUAAUGUUUUUUCUUAUAUGUGAGUGGGCUGUAUAACUUGGUGUUUACAAGAAUUUAUACCAAAUAUUGAUCUGCAUUAAUAUUCCAAGGUAAUUAGGUUGUGUAACUUGAUGUACAUCAAGCAUUGUUCUUUAGACUAUUGUUAAAUAUAAGUGGUUGGUAAGAUGUCACCUCAAUUAUUUUGUUAAUUGUUGCAGUGAAUCUCGACAGGGAAGCUGAUCAUAUUAUUGAAUUGCAUGUGGCAAAUUAUCAUUCAUCUAUUU
Olea europaea var. sylvestris is the source of this 1759-nucleotide long non-coding RNA. RefSeq lists it as uncharacterized. The transcript has 2 exons. NCBI's taxonomy places the organism in Eukaryota, Viridiplantae, Streptophyta, Magnoliopsida, Lamiales, Oleaceae. The record is from RefSeq and is a predicted model, not a curated record.